UGUGGGAGCCGGCUUGCCUGCGAUGCAGACACCUCGGUGCAACUGAUUUACCGGGUCGAUGCCAUCGCAGGCAAGCCAGCUCCCACA
RNAcentral lists this unclassified non-coding RNA (87 nucleotides) under Pseudomonas poae. The record is from RNAcentral. Lineage: Bacteria; Pseudomonadati; Pseudomonadota; Gammaproteobacteria; Pseudomonadales; Pseudomonadaceae.